GGGGAAGCUGGAUGGCUUGUGAGGGAUUCCAGGGAUCCAAAGUGAUUCGAAAAACUAAAGAGGCACCAUUUGUCCCCAUUGGAAUGGCAGGUUUUGCAGUAGUUGCUGCAUACGGAUUAUACAAAUUGAAAAGCAGGGGAAAUACUAAAAUAUCACGUCACCUGAUCCACAUGCGUGUGGCAGUCCAGCUUUGUUGUAGGAGCAAUGACUGUUGGUAUGGGCUAUUCCAUGUAUCCGGAUUUCUAUGCAAAACUUAAAC
RNAcentral lists this long non-coding RNA (259 nucleotides) under Homo sapiens (human). RNAcentral's name for it is "non-protein coding lnc-MRGPRX3-1:1". The record is from RNAcentral. Lineage: Eukaryota; Metazoa; Chordata; Mammalia; Primates; Hominidae.